UUCUAUUCCCUCCUGUUUGUGUACAACAAGAUUCACAAAAAAAACUAAUAAGAUUUGUAGGGGUGAUGGUGCGGGACUAUAUCAAGAAUUAGAUCAACUGAAAAUCAGGUUCGUCCCUUCUUCUUCUUUAUCUCAUUUCAAGUUUUUUGGGUUGAAAGAUGUUUGAAAGGUCAAAUUUUGCUGUUGGGUUGUGUUGGAACUUCAUAAGGGUUAGGAUAAUGGCUGUUUUUGAAGAAGUUGAUCAUAGUGAAGAGUCACCAGAGUUGCCAACGACAGAAAUACGAGAUAACAUCGAUGAAGGAGAAGGCUUUCAGGCAAAUGAGUCAAUGGGGUCAACGAUAAUGUUGUGGAAAAAUAUGAGUAUAGGGAAAUGGAUGAAAAAACCGGUUGUAAUUACAACCGGAGAGUAUGUUCUUUGCUCCAGCUGGGUAUAAUAAAGUAAUGAAAUUAGGAACCAGGUGUUAUAUCCAGAAAGCAGUCGAGAAAUUGGAGUCUCUAAAGCUUAGUGCUGACGAGCUCAGCUGGUUUAAAGAUCACCCAAACUUCAAGCAUUUCUGGCACAUGUCUAGUGCAUCUAAAACAGACCCAACACAUUAGUUGAUGGGCAUGUGGAUGUUGCUUGUUUGGACAGCAAGUACAAACAAAAGGAAGGAAUGUUGGUUUGUUGUUAGUGGCGUUCCCAUCCGAUAUUCACUUGAGAGAGCACACACUGAUAUCAGGAUUAGACUGCUGUCCAUAUUCAGAUAACUUUAAGAAUUUAGGCAGUGGUGAUUUUGCUAGGAGGAACUUUAAGAAAAGCAUAGUUCUCUCAUAUGCUGUUGUUGAAGAAACUGGAGACGAUGCCAGGUAGUCAAGAGGACAUGUUGAAAAUGUGUGUCGUUUUCUUCUUGUCGAGCAUAAUUAGUGGGAAGGCGUAGACCGGCAAGGGAGCACCAUUUAUGGAGCCAUUUUCGUUAGAAUUGUUGAUUAUCUUGAGGCGUGCCAAACUUUCCCGUGGGGAAUGCUUUCAUUCGAGGUCAAUAUGAGGAAAACUGGUCAUACAAUGAAGCAUUUCAAUGGCGUCGCGGAUUGGUGGGCCUAGGGUUGCUCGUCUUUUUGCAAGCACAUUGGUCCGAAGUUUUAAAUUUAUAAAAUCCUAGUGUCUGCAAGUGCACAGAUGUACGUUGUAGGACUUAGCGUGUCGAUCUGGAAUAACACAGAUGUCUAAUCUGCAAUAACACCAAACUGGGAGAGUAAGCAAAGUCAUAAACUCAUGGGGGUUUGGAAUUUUUGGUUAUGGGUCCUAAACUAAACCUAAUAUAAUAUUUACAGGAAAUAAAAUGCAAUGCAAAUGAAUUACUAAAAGAAUAUCCAAAGGAUAUUCGACUCAAACUAUAGACUCUAUACUCAAACUAUAGACUCUAUACUCAAACUAUAGACUCUAUACUCAAACUAUAGACUCUAGACUCAUAGUGGGCGAUUUAAACUUCUCUGGUUUACUCUAAUCGAUGUCAAAGCAUUACCAAUUAGCCUCCGUGCGAUUUAUCUUCAUAUGUUUUCUGGAAUCUGCAUGGAAUGGAAUAGACAUGUGUAUGAUUAACCAACUCUCGCCAUCUUAAUCAACUAAUCACUUAAAUAUGACAAUUAUCUCUCGCUCUCAUGCCAGAAAUAAGAUCAUGCAUUAACUAUUGAAUUUUUUUUGCUCACAUCUUCUCUACAAGUAGAUCUUGACUCCUGUAGCGACUAUGUUCUUUUGAAGCUAGGUAUGGAUGAUCUGAUACAGCACUCUCUUGGCUCUGAUCGAUCCUAGGCUCAGAGAAUAGGUCAUGAAUAUACUCUCAUGCAAUAUGAACAACUUAGAAGAGAUGAGAUCCAGAAUAUGGUUUAGACACUUAGAAAUCCUAAUCGAACAUGUAUGCCUAUCGAUGACUCUUUAGCAAGUUGACUCUCUGGGACAUAUCUACAUGAUGCAAAGAAUGAUAAAAGACAUGAAAGAAUGCAAAAGAUGAAACAGGAAAGUUAAUUAGAUAGAAAGGAAAAAGAACAAUGGAUCCAGGGAAAAAUCCCCUUCUCCAUCGCCUAACCCUAGAAAAACAAUGUUUGGUGGCUCAAAAUCUCAUUACAGGAGCACACACCCGUUUAGGACUGCUAAGAAAUGUAUUUAUAGGUCCUAAGGUCUUCCAGGUCUCAUUUAGGGUUUCUCUGAAAAGGAAUGGUGAAAUGGGAUUUGAUGUUGGGCCUUGUGGCUCAGCAUGGGUCCACCGGGGGUGAGAGUCUUCCGGGGCAGGUAAAAUGCUUAUUUGCCGCGGGUGAGAGUCUUCCGUGACUGGUGAAUUUGGUCAACUUGUUUUUCAUGUAUCUUUUGAUUGCACCGUUGGAUCUUUCUGAUGUAAAGUGCUAUGGAAAACGGGUUGUCUCCUCUUGAAUGUCUCCAAAAUUGAGUUGGAUCAGACGGUGAGAAAGUCUUCAUUUGAGGCUGAACUUCUGACGGUCUGACUCUGAGCCAAAAAUGUGAAUUUGUUCCAUUUUGCCAUCUUUUUCCCAAAUUUUCCUGAAAAGAGCCUUGAAACUACAAAUAUAUAGAAAUUAUUAUAAAACUUCCUAAAAAUGAUUAAAACAUUUGAAAAAGCAUUUGAAAUCAAUGCUGAAAAUGAGUACAAAUACGGUGUUAUCAACUCCCCUAGACAUAGACUUUGUUUGUCCUCAAACAAAACAAGAUCUAAUCUGGAAAAAUAUCAUCAACUGAAAUCUGGGGGAACUCAAAAAUAUCAGCAACCAUACCUAUAGACCUUAAUUAUGGACAAUGCAUCAAUCAGAUUAAGUCUAGAAAAUUCUCACCAAAAUACCAACAUCACUAAUCCGUUAAUCCAUCAUGCAAAAAUCUACACACUUAGAACUAACUUCUAGUCAACUUGCUCUUAACAUUCAUUAAAGGUUUCAGUGAUUCUCAUCAAAAGGAUAUUAAACAAGGCAUUCAAGGCUAGGUAUCAAAAGGCUUUUUAGUGGUGAGGCUUGAUGUGUUUAGGGUUACUUUUUUUUUCUGGAGAGACAUGAUAUUAUGCAAAACAGCAAGAGAGGAUGGACCUAUUGAUACCCACAAUUUCCAGUCACAUUCUCCUUGUUUCAAGAUUUCUGAUCUCUUUUCUUCAGGUUCUCCUUAUAACUCCUCAGACUUGGAUUUUUGUCCAGGUUGUGAAUCCAUAACUCCUUAAGUGAAUACCUAUUACCUUUGCUCAAAUGAUUUCGGCUUCUAAGACUCUUUAGGCUCUUGGUUUCAAUUCUUUUCUUUUUUCUUUCUCUUUUUUCGUUUUUUUUUUGGGAAAGGGGAAACUGCCUGUUGACUUAGAGUCUUACGGAGCACGAAAAUUACCUUCAAGAAUGAGCUUUUUAAAACAUCAUGAGGCUUGCUGAGGUUGCAUGGUACACUUCCUUCCCGGUUUCAUUCAGUCCUUCUCUUUAGUGACUGAAAACUAUGUUGUUCCUCCUUCUCCGGCGUUUUUGCACAUAUCUGUCGACAUAGAAUUAAAAGAGAAUGCAUGAGGUUUGAACAUGAAUGUUUGUUAAGGGUAAGGUACCAGCAAAAUAUGAACUGGCCAUCUAGGACAACAAAGAGUCUAACAAUAAGGUAAAGAUGUCCUACAUGUAUAUCAUGAUGCCUUCUUAAAACCAUUGAUGAGAAAAUUAGAUGUCAAGAUUAAGUCCAAGUAAAAUGAGCUACUAUAUCCUGUCAGAAAAGAUCUCUAUGAAUAGAAGUUCUCUGGUGGGAUUUCGUAGUGCAAGUACUCUAACUACCGCCUAGUCUAGUACUAAACCUUGAAAGAGCUUUUUAUGAACUGAUGGUGAAGAAGCAGACUGGUUGGUUAUCAUCAUUGAUUUUAUCAUUAUUCCCUCAAAAUGUAUUUGACCUUUGAAAACACUUUUUUAAACUCAAAAGAUUUUUGAAAAGCUUUAAGAAAACCGAAAAAAUGAAAAAUUUUAUAGAAAAAUGCAGAAUACAAGGGCUAAUACAAGAAAAGGUGACCGUAAGGGAUGGAUUCUCCCCCAGACCUAAAUCACACUGCCCCCAGUGUGAAAAAAGUCAAGCAAGGAUGAGAAAUAGAGUAUGUAAAAUUUUUAAAAGAUGAAGAAAAAGAAAACUUACCUGGUGUUGGUGAUGGGUUGUGUGAGGUGGUUGUGGAGGUGUUAGGAUGUUGAAUGAUGGAUGGUGGUUGAUGUGGAGUGGUGCUUGAUCAAAUUUGGAUUGAUUUGAAUCAAGGUAGAGGUUGAAAUGGCCAAGGGUGGCCGGACUGAUGCUGGCCACAAGCCAAGGUGUCACGGCCGUGGCAAAAUGCUUCCUGGCCGCAGCUGAACCUCUCUCGGCCGCGUUCAGCUCCUUUUCUUCUCUUCUUUUUUUUUUUGAAGGCAUACUAAUGCCUAAAAUGAAAACAAAACUUCAGUAGAAAAAAAUGUUAAACAAAAACAAAUAAGUACCUAAAUGGGUUGCCUCCCAUCAAGCGCUUUGGUUUAUAAUCCUUAGCUAGACUUUGCAAAGAAAAAAACUUAGUUCAAAUAGGAUCUUGUCCUAAGACAAGUCCUUUUCGAAAUCCUCCUGUUCUCUCUUGCAGGUUCUUCAUCACUCCAAAGUUCUUCUGGUUUAAAUGCCUGAGCUUUAUGCUUUCUUCCUUUGCUCUUAAGCAGUGUAGCUUCAUAGAAGAUAUCCUUGUCGAUAUUUGUAAAAGAAACUCUCCGGUUGGGCCAAUCCAUGAUGGCUCCAGCAGUUGUUAAGAAAAGCCAUCCAAGGAUAACUGAAUAUGAGUCAUCUUUGGUAUUUACUAUGUAUAGAUCGAGAGGUGCUAUCAAUCUCUAAUCCUUAGAGGAAUAUCUCGGGCUAUCCCUCUUGGGAUUGCACUUGAAUCAUCUGCUAAAAUAAUCUUUGUCCUGGUACUUGAAAUGUGCUUAAUGCCAAGUCUCAAAGCAGUAGCUUUGGACAUCAUAUUAAUGCAAGCUCCAGAAUCACAAAGAAUAUUGAUGAAUCUUUCACCUGUAAUGUCACAAGAGAUAAGAAAUUGACCUUUGUCUUGAACUUUGUGCAGAAUUCGAACUGGUCUUUCCUGUGGAUGGUCUGGUUCUUCAAAUGCAGAGUAAGAGUCACAUUAAAACUUUGCUGCAUCAAAACAUAUGAUUGAAUAUAUGUAAG
RNAcentral lists this long non-coding RNA (5155 nucleotides) under Eutrema salsugineum. RNAcentral describes it as "long non-coding RNA (ESAL_LNC000775)". The record is from RNAcentral. Lineage: Eukaryota; Viridiplantae; Streptophyta; Magnoliopsida; Brassicales; Brassicaceae.